This 319-nucleotide ribosomal RNA is filed under the name uncultured eukaryote. RNAcentral describes it as "partial 18S ribosomal RNA". It matches the Rfam family "Eukaryotic small subunit ribosomal RNA", at positions 1470 to 1796 of the family's 1831-position model. The record is from RNAcentral.
ACCUUAGAUGUUCUGGGCCGCACGCGCGCUACAAUGGUCUUCGCAAACGGAUGCAUUCUCGAAGGAGAAUGCCAAUCUUGGAAUCUAUGCCUUGGUCGGGACAGUUGCUUGCAAUUUUUCGACUCGAACCAGGAAUUCCUUGUAAUCGUGAUUCAUCACAUCACGAUGAAUACGUCCCUGCCCUUUGUACACACCGCCCGUCGCUCCUACCGAUCGAAGAGUUAGGUGAAUUGUUUUGAUCGAUAAGAUUUGACUAUGGUCAACUCUCGUUGUGAAAUUCUGUGAAUCUGACUGUUUAGAGGAAGGAAAAGUCGUAACA